UUGGAGGGCAAGUCUGGUGCCAGCAGCCGCGGUAACUCCAGCUCCAAUAGCGUAUAUUAAAGUUGCUGCAGUUAAAAAGCUCGUAGUUGAAUUUCGGGAUUCAUCCGUUGGUCGGGCUUCACGGUCCGUACUGGUGUGAUGGGUUCCUACCUUCUGAAUAACCGGCAUGCCAUUAAUUUGGUGCGCCGGGGAAGCAGAACUAUUAUCUUGAAAAAAUUAGAGUGCUUAAAGCAGGCAAGUGCCUGAAUAGGUUAGCAUGGAAUAAUAAAAUAGGACGGCAUGGUUCUAUUUUGUUGGUUUCUAGGAUCACCGUAAUGAUUAAUAGGGAUAGUUGGGGGCAUUAGUAUUCAAUUGUCAGAGGUGAAAUUCUUGGAUUUAUUGAAGACUAACUUCUGCGAAAGCAUUUGCCAAGGAUGUUUUCAUUAAUCAAGAACGAAAGUUAGGGGAUCGAAGACGAUCAGAUACCGUCGUAGUCUUAACCAUAAACUAUGCCGACUAGGGAUCGGACGAUGUUAAUUUUUUAAUGACUCGUUCGGCGCCUUACGGGAAAC
RNAcentral lists this ribosomal RNA (551 nucleotides) under uncultured Glomeromycotina. RNAcentral describes it as "SSU rRNA". It matches the Rfam family "Eukaryotic small subunit ribosomal RNA", at positions 548 to 1098 of the family's 1831-position model. The record is from RNAcentral. Lineage: Eukaryota; Fungi; Glomeromycota.